This 75-nucleotide transfer RNA is filed under the name Planctomycetes bacterium RIFCSPHIGHO2_02_FULL_52_58. Its description in RNAcentral is "tRNA-Thr". It matches the Rfam family "tRNA". From Rfam's summary of the family: Transfer RNA (tRNA) molecules are approximately 80 nucleotides in length. Their secondary structure includes four short double-helical elements and three loops (D, anti-codon, and T loops). Further hydrogen bonds mediate the characteristic L-shaped molecular structure. tRNAs have two regions of fundamental functional importance: the anti-codon, which is responsible for specific mRNA codon recognition, and the 3' end, to which the tRNAs corresponding amino acid is attached (by aminoacyl-tRNA synthetases). tRNAs cope with the degeneracy of the genetic code in two manners: having more than one tRNA (with a specific anti-codon) for a particular amino acid; and 'wobble' base-pairing, i.e. permitting non-standard base-pairing at the 3rd anti-codon position. RNAcentral also lists the same sequence under 6 other names. The record is from RNAcentral. Lineage: Bacteria; Pseudomonadati; Planctomycetota.
GCUAGCGUAGCUCAAUGGCAGAGCAGCUGUUUUGUAAACAGCAGGUUGUGGGUUCAAAUCCCGCCGCUAGCUCCA